UGAGGAAUAUUGGUCAAUGGGUGCAAGCCUGAACCAGCCAUCCCGCGUGCAGGAAGAAUGCCCUAUGGGUUGUAAACUGCUUUUGUGCAUGAAGAAUAGCCCGGACGUGUCCGGGUAUGACGGUAAUGCGUGAAUAAGCACCGGCUAACUCCGUGCCAGCAGCCGCGGUAAUACGGAGGGUGCAAGCGUUAUCCGGAUUUAUUGGGUUUAAAGGGUGCGUAGGCGGUAUAAUAAGUCAGUGGUGAAAUGCUGCAGCUCAACUGUAGAACUGCCAUUGAAACUGUAAUACUUGAGUGAUCUUGAGGUAGGCGGAAUGUGUAGUGUAGCGGUGAAAUGCAUAGAUAUUACACAGAACACCGAUUGCGAAGGCAGCUUACUAAGGGUUUACUGACGCUGAUGC
This 400-nucleotide ribosomal RNA is filed under the name uncultured bacterium. RNAcentral's name for it is "bacterial SSU rRNA". It matches the Rfam family "Bacterial small subunit ribosomal RNA", at positions 355 to 752 of the family's 1533-position model. The record is from RNAcentral.